This 436-nucleotide long non-coding RNA is filed under the name Homo sapiens (human). RNAcentral describes it as "non-protein coding LINC02190:6". Lineage: Eukaryota; Metazoa; Chordata; Mammalia; Primates; Hominidae. The record is from RNAcentral.
AAGAGAACUAGAUGUUAUCUAGUGUUAUCCUGCUGAUCCCAAUUUCCUAUAGUUCUGGCACCAGAAAAUCCUGAAUGAUAGGUUUUUCUGAAGCUGCUGACAUCGGGUCAGCCCUCAACACCAUCACCUUUGGCCAUGUUCAGGAAGUACUCAAAGGUAACACUGGCAGCCAAGAGCAGGCCAAUCAAUGUCUGGCCACCACCCUAAUCCCACCUGGACAGUCACACCCCACCUCCCUAUGUGUGUUCGCACAGUGGGGGUGAUAUCAUGUGGGUCUGGCCUGUCCUGAGCAGAACCUGGUGUUGGGUUGUCAGAAACCCAGUGACCCAUCACGUUCACUCUUCAGAUCAUGGCUCAAAAGUCUGCAGAGCAGAGACAAGAGAUUGACAAAGAGGUGUUGAUGAGGGCAAUAAAAGCAAAGGUGGCUUUAUCACGG